This 418-nucleotide ribosomal RNA is filed under the name uncultured bacterium. RNAcentral's name for it is "bacterial SSU rRNA". It matches the Rfam family "Bacterial small subunit ribosomal RNA", at positions 355 to 787 of the family's 1533-position model. The record is from RNAcentral.
UGGGGAAUAUUGGGCAAUGGGCGGAAGCCUGACCCAGCAACGCCGCGUGAAGGAAGAAGGCUUUCGGGUUGUAAACUUCUUUUCUCAGGGACGAAGCAAGUGACGGUACCUGAGGAAUAAGCCACGGCUAACUACGUGCCAGCAGCCGCGGUAAUACGUAGGUGGCAAGCGUUAUCCGGAUUUACUGGGUGUAAAGGGCGUGUAGGCGGGACUGCAAGUCAGAUGUGAAAACCACGGGCUCAACCUGUGGCCUGCAUUUGAAACUGUAGUUCUUGAGUACUGGAGAGGCAGAUGGAAUUCCUAGUGUAGCGGUGAAAUGCGUAGAUAUUAGGAGGAACACCAGUGGCGAAGGCGGUCUGCUGGACAGCAACUGACGCUGAGGCGCGAAAGCGUGGGGAGCAAACAGGAUUAGAUACCC